RNAcentral lists this unclassified non-coding RNA (346 nucleotides) under soil metagenome. RNAcentral describes it as "partial contains 5.8S ribosomal RNA, internal transcribed spacer 2, and large subunit ribosomal RNA". The stretch from base 1 to 120 matches the Rfam family "5.8S ribosomal RNA", at positions 35 to 154 of the family's 154-position model. The record is from RNAcentral.
GAUGAAGAACGUAGCGAAAUGCGAUAAGUAAUGUGAAUUGCAGAAUUCAGUGAAUCAUCGAGUCUUUGAACGCACAUUGCGCCCCCUGGUAUUCCGGGGGGCAUGCCUGUCCGAGCGUCAUUGCUGCCCUCAAGCACGGCUUGUGUGUUGGGCCCCGUCCUCCGAUCCCGGGGGACGGGCCCGAAAGGCAGCGGCGGCACCGCGUCCGGUCCUCGAGCGUAUGGGGCUUUGUCACCCGCUCUGUAGGCCCGGCCGGCGCUUGCCGAUCAACCCAAAUUUUUUAUCCAGGUUGACCUCGGAUCAGGUAGGGAUACCCGCUGAACUUAAGCAUAUCAAUAACGGAGGA